This 523-nucleotide ribosomal RNA is filed under the name uncultured delta proteobacterium. RNAcentral's name for it is "bacterial SSU rRNA". It matches the Rfam family "Bacterial small subunit ribosomal RNA", at positions 355 to 868 of the family's 1533-position model. The record is from RNAcentral. Lineage: Bacteria; Deltaproteobacteria.
UGGGGAAUUUUGCGCAAUGGGGGAAACCCUGACGCAGCAACGCCGCGUGGGUGAUGAAGGCCUUCGGGUCGUAAAGCCCUGUCGGGAGGGAAGAAAUGAUUGAGAGCUAAUACCUCUUGGUCUUGACGGUACCUCCGAAGGAAGCACCGGCUAACUCCGUGCCAGCAGCCGCGGUAAUACGGAGGGUGCAAGCGUUGUUCGGAAUUAUUGGGCGUAAAGCGCGUGUAGGCGGUCUUUUAAGUCUGAUGUGAAAGCCCCGGGCUCAACCUGGGAAGUGCAUUGGAAACUGGGAGACUUGAGUACGGGAGAGGAGAGUGGAAUUCCUAGUGUAGGAGUGAAAUCCGUAGAUAUUAGGAGGAACACCGGUGGCGAAGGCGGCUCUCUGGACCGAUACUGACGCUGAGACGCGAAAGCGUGGGUAGCAAACAGGAUUAGAUACCCUGGUAGUCCACGCCGUAAACGAUGAGUACUAGGUGUUGCGGGUAUUGACCCCUGCAGUGCCGUAGCUAACGCAUUGAGUACU